RNAcentral lists this ribosomal RNA (2896 nucleotides) under Escherichia coli. Its description in RNAcentral is "23S ribosomal RNA". It matches the Rfam family "Bacterial large subunit ribosomal RNA". The record is from RNAcentral. Lineage: Bacteria; Pseudomonadati; Pseudomonadota; Gammaproteobacteria; Enterobacterales; Enterobacteriaceae.
GGUUAAGCGACUAAGCGUACACGGUGGAUGCCCUGGCAGUCAGAGGCGAUGAAGGACGUGCUAAUCUGCGAUAAGCGUCGGUAAGGUGAUAUGAACCGUUAUAACCGGCGAUUUCCGAAUGGGGAAACCCAGUGUGUUUCGACACACUAUCAUUAACUGAAUCCAUAGGUUAAUGAGGCGAACCGGGGAACUGAAACAUCUAAGUACCCCGAGGAAAAGAAAUCAACCGAGAUUCCCCCAGUAGCGGCGAGCGAACGGGGAGCAGCCCAGAGCCUGAAUCAGUGUGUGUGUUAGUGGAAGCGUCUGGAAAGGCGCGCGAUACAGGGUGACAGCCCCGUACACAAAAAUGCACAUACUGUGAGCUCGAUGAGUAGGGCGGGACACGUGGUAUCCUGUCUGAAUAUGGGGGACCAUCCUCCAAGGCUAAAUACUCCUGACUGACCGAUAGUGAACCAGUACCGUGAGGGAAAGGCGAAAAGAACCCCGGCGAGGGAGUGAAAAAGAACCUGAAACCGUGUACGUACAAGCAGUGGGAGCCUCUUAAUGGGGUGACUGCGUACCUUUUGUAUAAUGGGUCAGCGACUUAUAUUCUGUAGCAAGGUUAACCGAAUAGGGGAGCCGAAGGGAAACCGAGUCUUAACUGGGCGUUAAGUUGCAGGGUAUAGACCCGAAACCCGGUGAUCUAGCCAUGGGCAGGUUGAAGGUUGGGUAACACUAACUGGAGGACCGAACCGACUAAUGUUGAAAAAUUAGCGGAUGACUUGUGGCUGGGGGUGAAAGGCCAAUCAAACCGGGAGAUAGCUGGUUCUCCCCGAAAGCUAUUUAGGUAGCGCCUCGUGAAUUCAUCUCCGGGGUAGAGCACUGUUUCGGCAAGGGGUCAUCCCGACUUACCAACCCGAUGCAAACUGCGAAUACCGGAGAAUGUUAUCACGGGAGACACACGGCGGGUGCUAACGUCCGUCGUGAAGAGGGAAACAACCCAGACCGCCAGCUAAGGUCCCAAAGUCAUGGUUAAGUGGGAAACGAUGUGGGAAGGCCCAGACAGCCAGGAUGUUGGCUUAGAAGCAGCCAUCAUUUAAAGAAAGCGUAAUAGCUCACUGGUCGAGUCGGCCUGCGCGGAAGAUGUAACGGGGCUAAACCAUGCACCGAAGCUGCGGCAGCGACACUAUGUGUUGUUGGGUAGGGGAGCGUUCUGUAAGCCUGUGAAGGUGUACUGUGAGGUAUGCUGGAGGUAUCAGAAGUGCGAAUGCUGACAUAAGUAACGAUAAAGCGGGUGAAAAGCCCGCUCGCCGGAAGACCAAGGGUUCCUGUCCAACGUUAAUCGGGGCAGGGUGAGUCGACCCCUAAGGCGAGGCCGAAAGGCGUAGUCGAUGGGAAACAGGUUAAUAUUCCUGUACUUGGUGUUACUGCGAAGGGGGACGGAGAAGGCUAUGUUGGCCGGGCGACGGUUGUCCCGGUUUAAGCGUGUAGGCUGGUUUUCCAGGCAAAUCCGGAAAAUCAAGGCUGAGGCGUGAUGACGAGGCACUACGGUGCUGAAGCAACAAAUGCCCUGCUUCCAGGAAAAGCCUCUAAGCAUCAGGUAACAUCAAAUCGUACCCCAAACCGACACAGGUGGUCAGGUAGAGAAUACCAAGGCGCUUGAGAGAACUCGGGUGAAGGAACUAGGCAAAAUGGUGCCGUAACUUCGGGAGAAGGCACGCUGAUAUGUAGGUGAAGUCCCUUGCGGAUGGAGCUGAAAUCAGUCGAAGAUACCAGCUGGCUGCAACUGUUUAUUAAAAACACAGCACUGUGCAAACACGAAAGUGGACGUAUACGGUGUGACGCCUGCCCGGUGCCGGAAGGUUAAUUGAUGGGGUUAGCGGUAACGCGAAGCUCUUGAUCGAAGCCCCGGUAAACGGCGGCCGUAACUAUAACGGUCCUAAGGUAGCGAAAUUCCUUGUCGGGUAAGUUCCGACCUGCACGAAUGGCGUAAUGAUGGCCAGGCUGUCUCCACCCGAGACUCAGUGAAAUUGAACUCGCUGUGAAGAUGCAGUGUACCCGCGGCAAGACGGAAAGACCCCGUGAACCUUUACUAUAGCUUGACACUGAACAUUGAGCCUUGAUGUGUAGGAUAGGUGGGAGGCUUUGAAGUGUGGACGCCAGUCUGCAUGGAGCCGGCCUUGAAAUACCACCCUUUAAUGUUUGAUGUUCUAACGUUGGCCCCUGAUCGGGGUUGCGGACAGUGUCUGGUGGGUAGUUUGACUGGGGCGGUCUCCUCCUAAAGAGUAACGGAGGAGCACGAAGGUUGGCUAAUCCUGGUCGGACAUCAGGAGGUUAGUGCAAUGGCAUAAGCCAGCUUGACUGCGAGCGUGACGGCGCGAGCAGGUGCGAAAGCAGGUCUAGUGAUCCGGUGGUUCUGAAUGGAAGGGCCAUCGCUCAACGGAUAAAAGGUACUCCGGGGAUAACAGGCUGAUACCGCCCAAGAGUUCAUAUCGACGGCGGUGUUUGGCACCUCGAUGUCGGCUCAUCACAUCCUGGGGCUGAAGUAGGUCCCAAGGGUAUGGCUGUUCGCCAUUUAAAGUGGUACGCGAGCUGGGUUUAGAACGUCGUGAGACAGUUCGGUCCCUAUCUGCCGUGGGCGCUGGAGAACUGAGGGGGCUGCUCCUAGUACGAGAGGACCGGAGUGGACGCAUCACUGGUGUUCGGGUUGUCAUGCCAAUGGCACUGCCCGGUAGCUAAAUGCGGAAGAGAUAAGUGCUGAAAGCAUCUAAGCACGAAACUUGCCCCGAGAUGAGUUCUCCCUGACUCUUUAAGGGUCCUGAAGGAACGUUGAAGACGACGACGUUAAUAGGCCGGGUGUGUAAGCGCAGCGAUGCGUUGAGCUAACCGGUACUAAUGAACCGUGAGGCUUAACCUU